This 904-nucleotide long non-coding RNA is filed under the name Solanum tuberosum (potato). RNAcentral describes it as "long non-coding RNA (STUB_LNC003856)". Lineage: Eukaryota; Viridiplantae; Streptophyta; Magnoliopsida; Solanales; Solanaceae. The record is from RNAcentral.
ACCAAUCACUUUAUCCCCAAAAUCAAUCACACUUAGCCAUACGUUCUCAAAUCUAAAAAAAGAUCCCUCCAUCUUCCUCUACAUUUCUUUUGAAUAGUAGUAAUGUAUUCUUCAACAUUAAGGAUAUGCUGGAGACCUCCAAAAAUUAUAGUGUGAGAAAUAUAUGAGAAGAAUAUUAUUGAAUUGUUGUUGUUUACAUUAUUACAUUGAGACCCUAUUUAUAGACCCUAGAAUACAAUCCUUUACCAAGUAGGAUACUAUUUAGUAUUCCUAUUUCUAUUUCUAUUCCUAUUCCUGUUCUAAUAGGAUUGUAUAAAUUUAUUCCUAUUUUAAUAGGAUUGUAUAAACCUAUUCCUUUUCUAAUAGGAUUGUAUAAACCUAUUCCUUUUCUAAUAGGAUUGUAUAAACCUAUUCCUUUUCUAAUAGGAUUGUAUAAACCUAUUCCUUUUCUAAUAGGAUUGUAUAAACCUAUUCCUUUUCUAAUAGGAUUGUAUAAACCUAUUCCUUUUCUAAUAGGAUUGUAUAAACCUAUUCCUUUUCUAAUAGGAUUGUAUAAACCUAUUCCUUUUCUAAUAGGAUUGUAUAAACCUAUUCCUUUUCUAAUAGGAUUGUAUAAACCUAUUCCUUUUCUAAUAGGAUUGUAUAAACCUAUUCCUUUUCUAAUAGGAUUGUAUAAACCUAUUCCUUUUCUAAUAGGAUUGUAUAAACCUAUUCCUUUUCUAAUAGGAUUGUAUAAACCUAUUCCUUUUCUAAUAGGAUUGUAUAAACCUAUUCCUUUUCUAAUAGGAUUGUAUAAACCUAUUCCUUUUCUAAUAGGAUUGUAUAAACCUAUUCCUUUUCUAAUAGGAUUGUAUAAACCUAUUCCUUUUCUAAUAGGAUUGUAUAAACCUAUUCCUAUUCUAAC